Non-coding RNA from Pelobates cultripes (western spadefoot toad), 312 nucleotides. NCBI's taxonomy places the organism in Eukaryota, Metazoa, Chordata, Amphibia, Anura, Pelobatidae. The record is from the annotation of a GenBank genome assembly.
CUUGGGGUGAGUCGUCUGGUCAGUACUCUGCGGCAUAGUUGGUGCUUGGGGCUGGCGGUAUUUAGUUGUAGUCGCCCGUGUGGACUGGAAUAACCCCCACCGGUCGGGGGGGGGGGGACAGCAAGAUGCUGGUCGGAGAACUCAGGGAGCUCAAGCUCGGGUAGGCCUCGAACAGGUUAUGCCAUGAUAUCUCCGCGUGCGACUGCAGCUUUUGAGUAGUUUGGGCACCGAUUUGAGUCGGUGGCUGCUGCUGGCAUGGAGUUAGCUCCAAUAUUCUAGCCCAGGCGCUAGAGCUCAGACGAGACACGUCUG